AGAGUUUGAUCCUGGCUCAGAUUGAACGCUGGCGGCAGGCCUAACACAUGCAAGUCGAGCGGUAGAGAGAAGCUUGCUUCUCUUGAGAGCGGCGGACGGGUGAGUAAUGCCUAGGAAUCUGCCUAGUGGUGGGGGAUAACGUUCGGAAACGGACGCUAAUACCGCAUACGUCCUACGGGAGAAAGCGGGGGACCUUCGGGCCUCGCGCCAUUAGAUGAGCCUAGGUCGGAUUAGCUAGUUGGUGAGGUAAAGGCUCACCAAGGCGACGAUCCGUAACUGGUCUGAGAGGAUGAUCAGUCACACUGGAACUGAGACACGGUCCAGACUCCUACGGGAGGCAGCAGUGGGGAAUAUUGGACAAUGG
Molecule: ribosomal RNA, 364 nt
Filed under: uncultured bacterium
Lineage: Bacteria
Description: bacterial SSU rRNA
Rfam family: Bacterial small subunit ribosomal RNA
Source: RNAcentral